This 2559-nucleotide long non-coding RNA is filed under the name Haliotis rufescens (red abalone). Its description in RNAcentral is "uncharacterized LOC124113292". The record is from RNAcentral. Lineage: Eukaryota; Metazoa; Mollusca; Gastropoda; Lepetellida; Haliotidae.
UUCCAGGUAAUGGAGAUUAACAGCUGGUGUCACGAAUAUUUCCCGGAUCCUCUGCUUGGUGUCGCGGCUCUUGCUCUACUUUCCAAGGAAUUAAAGGACCGUGAUCGCCCACAAUAAAACAUGGUCUGCUAAAACAAGAUGGCGGCUGACAAAACACAUUGGGCAAGGCUUGAGAGCCUUGAAAUAUUGUAGUUUUCGCAGUAAUUGAGGAACCAUGCCAUAAUGGGAGAUGGACUAGAGAUGAGGAGAAAUUUUUGACAGUUUGUGGAGAGCAGGGGGGUGGAAAAUAUCAAAUACAAAGAGUGGAAGGACUGUGCCGAAGACCAGAGAAAUGGGUGUACAGACUGAUGUAACUUUUGGGCCUAUGUUUGAAGUGACCUGGGCAUGUAGCAGUCAGGCACUUUAUACCACUCAUUCACAUUCCUUAAUUAGAUCUAUGUUAUCAAAUGUAUCAGUCAGUGAACCAGCCUCACCCGCCAUACGCUCACAGACCUGCCAUGUCUCUGACAUACCGUCAACCGAUGCCACUUCUCCGUUGGUGCCCGAACAAAACUACUCGCAACCAUAUACAGUCAGUGAACCAGCCGCACCUGCUAUAUGCUCACAAACCUGCCAUGUCUCUGACAUACCGUCAACUGAUGCCACUUCUCCGUUGGUGCCUAAACAAAACUGCUUGCAACCACUUACAGUCAGUGAACCAGCCUCACCAGUUGUCUGUUGUUCAAUUAUGCUUCAGCAUAACUAAGCAAAUCAAAAGAGAACUCAAAUCUUAUCAAAGUAAAAGAUUAAAAGGCAGAAAAAAAAAAUGGCAAUUGGCAGAAUUUCUUACCCACCAAUCAAGAAAUGUUCCUGGAAGAGUAUCUUUGACUCAUCUGGUCAAACUGGUAUUCAUGUACAACAAAAUGAAUAAAUGCUCAAUUAUCGCAUUAAGAUAUUUCUUUGCCAUUUGGCAUGGAUACUUUCACAAGUUCAGGAAAAAGCUGAGAUGGGUUAUCAAUUUGCAAAUGUUUGUUAAUGAGGUUACUGUUAACUGGUUGUAUAUUUUCACCAUAUAUUUGGGGCCAUUGAAAUUGGAUUGUGUGAUAUUAAUUCUAUGAUCAUGUUGUACUGUUGUUUUGUGCAGUAUCGAAGAAAGAUAUUUCAGUGUUAUAACUAUUUAUUCUUGUAACUAAUAUCAAUCCCAGCUGUAUUUCGUGGCAAAAACAUACCUAUUCUGUGACUAGAAUUUCACUUUCACAAUUGUUUUUAGUGACAGUGUUGAUUGAUGAUCACUAGUGUAAACAUACAGACAUAAGCAAUAAUACAUAAUUCAUAUUUACUGUGAAACAAAAUCAGGAUAUUGAGUUUAUGUUACCAUUUCUCAAACGAAAAAUGUUUAAAAGACUGUUUGUAAAUUGUUUUUACGUUUCCAUUUGUCAUACUAAACUUGGCAUUUAAGAACAAUAUGUUUUCUAAACAUUGGUGAAUGGAGAAUAAGAAAAGUAAGCAAUUUUUUCUAUGAUUUCACUAACAAAUGUGAUUAUUAUCACAUAUUUUAAGAGUUGAUGAGAUUAAUGGUAACUGUUUAAAUUUGGGAUUUGUCACGUCAUUAUUAUUUGUAACUACGGUAACCUCUGUAAUUGUCAAAGUGCUUCGCUACAUGAAUUGCCUUAGCUUAUCAAACCAUACUGUAGAUUGUACAUGUUGUAGUGUGUAUAUUGGAAAAUAUAUUGAAAGAUUUCUGAGUGCAAUUGUUGUGGUGUUAAUUUUCUUCUUGAGAUGACUGUAUACUGUACUAGUACUACUACUUUGGAUGUACUUCACAUUUCCAAUAGCAUUAAGAAUAUUAUUAAAUUCAUAUGUAUGUAUGUGUGAAACUAUUGAACUACAUUGUACAUGGAAAACAUCAUUUUUGUCCAGUGGUCAACCAUGUGCAGAAAGUCUAAUAACAAAUAUUCUAUAACCCUUUUGGGAGGUAUUUUCCCUUUUGACCCUUGUAAGUAAUGUUGAUGCCCUUUAGAUUAUAGGUUGCUGCAUUGUAUGCAAAACCACAGACCUAUAUACAAGUUAUACAAGUCCAUGGCUAUACUUAAUCUUAGAUCUCCAUGUCUACAUCAGUGUAAUCAAAUGACUCAAUGUACUAAAUGUUAGUUGGGAUACUAUUAAAUAGAUUUAAUAGAGAUUAGGGAAAUGUUUCCGAAACAUGUCAAGUUUUCAUAAAUUGGGUAUCAACAAAGUGUAUCGAUACCUCGCUGGUGUAUACUGUUUUGUUUAUAAAUCUAUUUUGAUUGCAAAUUUCACCUGCCAGGAGUUGCAGCUGCAAUUAGAGGAUUCACUAUGCACAAAGCCUGCUGAAUUUCAUACUGGGCUCUAAGGAUUGCACGUAAAUCCCCUACUUUGAGAAAGGCUGGUCGAAAGUUAGAUUUCCCCCAUGAUAUGACACAAUGCGCCUCAUCAACAAUAAUGUGACUGAUCUGAAAUUUGAAUAUGGGGUGAGGAUAAUGGGACACAGUACACUAAGACAUUUUUAUUUAUAGAAAACAUUUAACAAAAUGUGCAAUAAAAUAAUCACUACAACAA